GGAGAGGUGCCUGAGCGGCUUAAAGGGGCACCCUGCUAAGGUGUUAGACCUUAACGGGUCUCGAGGGUUCAAAUCCCUCCCUCUCCGCCA
RNAcentral lists this transfer RNA (90 nucleotides) under Candidatus Moranbacteria bacterium CG06_land_8_20_14_3_00_43_56. RNAcentral describes it as "tRNA-Ser". It matches the Rfam family "tRNA". From Rfam's summary of the family: Transfer RNA (tRNA) molecules are approximately 80 nucleotides in length. Their secondary structure includes four short double-helical elements and three loops (D, anti-codon, and T loops). Further hydrogen bonds mediate the characteristic L-shaped molecular structure. tRNAs have two regions of fundamental functional importance: the anti-codon, which is responsible for specific mRNA codon recognition, and the 3' end, to which the tRNAs corresponding amino acid is attached (by aminoacyl-tRNA synthetases). tRNAs cope with the degeneracy of the genetic code in two manners: having more than one tRNA (with a specific anti-codon) for a particular amino acid; and 'wobble' base-pairing, i.e. permitting non-standard base-pairing at the 3rd anti-codon position. Lineage: Bacteria; Candidatus Moraniibacteriota. The record is from RNAcentral. RNAcentral also lists the same sequence under 1 other name.